GCCCCCUUGGACCAGUGUGCCUAGAGCUGGAAGGUACUGGGCCACACGUAGACAGUCCUCUCUCUGACCCACUUCAGGCCAAGCAGAGACACAACAUCACACUACUGUGGGACCGCGAGGUGGCAGACGUGUUGGUUGAUGGCUACAACGUCCACUAUGGUGCCCGCUCCAUUAAGCAUGAGGUGAGCACAGAAACCUGAGACAAACAUGGAACCUGUAUACCUUCCUCCCUGUGCCCAUAGACCUAACUUUCAGGCUCAGCCAGUCUCCCUGUAGUUUAGCUGCUAGAAUUAAUCCAUACCAACAGAAGUCCUUUCAGAACUA
RNAcentral lists this long non-coding RNA (324 nucleotides) under Rattus norvegicus (Norway rat). Its description in RNAcentral is "long non-coding RNA NONRATT001039". The record is from RNAcentral. Lineage: Eukaryota; Metazoa; Chordata; Mammalia; Rodentia; Muridae.